RNAcentral lists this ribosomal RNA (253 nucleotides) under uncultured bacterium. RNAcentral describes it as "partial 16S ribosomal RNA". It matches the Rfam family "Bacterial small subunit ribosomal RNA", at positions 524 to 776 of the family's 1533-position model. The record is from RNAcentral.
UACGUAGGGUGCGAGCGUUGUCCGGAAUUAUUGGGCGUAAAGAGCUCGUAGGCGGUCUGUUGCGUCGGCUGUGAAAACCCGGGGCUCAACCCCGGGCCUGCAGCCGAUACGGGCAGACUAGAGUUCGGCAGGGGAGACUGGAAUUCCUGGUGUAGCGGUGAAAUGCGCAGAUAUCAGGAAGAACACCCGUGGCGAAAGCGGCUCUCUGGAACGGUACUGACGCUGAGACGCGAAAGCGUGGGGAGCGAACAGG